This 16-nucleotide small RNA is filed under the name Arabidopsis thaliana (thale cress). RNAcentral's name for it is "ATSL146220". Lineage: Eukaryota; Viridiplantae; Streptophyta; Magnoliopsida; Brassicales; Brassicaceae. The record is from RNAcentral.
UUUCUUAGUAUUCCUU